AUACACUUUGGCAGGAUAUACACUAAAAUUGGAACAAUACAGAGAUUAGCAUGGACCGUGGGCAAGGAUGACACACAAAUUCCUUAAGUGUUCCUUUUUUUA
This is a small nuclear RNA of Pteronotus mesoamericanus, 102 nucleotides long. Lineage: Eukaryota; Metazoa; Chordata; Mammalia; Chiroptera; Mormoopidae. The record is from RefSeq and is a predicted model, not a curated record.